AAAUGACGGUACCUGACUAAGAAGCCCCGGCUAACUACGCGCCAGCAGCCGCGGUAAUACGUAGGUGGCGAGCGUUAUCCGGAAUCAUUGGGCGUAAAGAGGGAGCAGGCGGCAGCUAGGGUCUGCGGUGAAAGACCGAAGCUAAACUUCGGUAAGCCGUGGAAACCGAGCAGCUAGAGAGCAGCAGAGGAUCGUGGAAUUCCAUGUGUAGCGGUGAAAUGCGUAGAUAUAUGGAGGAACACCAGUGGCGAAGGCGACGAUCUGGGCUGCAACUGACGCUCAGUCCCGAAAGCGUGGGGAGCAAAUAGGAUUAGAUACCCUAGUAGUCCACGCCGUAAACGAUGAGUACUAAGUGUUGGGGGUCAAACCUCAGUGCUGCAGUUAACGCAAUAAGUACUCCGCCUGAGUAGUACGUUCGCAAGAAUGAAACUCAAAGGAAUUGACGGGGGCCCGCACAAGCGGUGGAGCAUGUGGUUUAAUUCGAAGCAACGCGAAGAACCUUACCAGGUCUUGACAUACCAAUAAAGGCCUCAGAGAUGAGGAGAUAGAUAUAAUGGAUACAGGUGGUGCAUGGUUGUCGUCAGCUCGUGUCGUGAGAUGUUGGGUUAAGUCCCGCAACGAGCGCAACCCUUGUCGCUAGUUACCAUCAUUAAGUUGGGGACUCUAGCGAGACUGCCUCUGCAAGGAGGAGGAAGGCGGGGAUGACGUCAAAUCAUCAUGCCCCUUAUGACCUGGGCUACACACGUGCUACAAUGGACGGAUCAGAGGGAAGCGAAGCUGCGAAGUGGAGCGAAACCCAAAAACCCGUUCUCAGUUCGGACUGCAGUCUGCAACUCGACUGCACGAAGUUGGAAUCGCUAGUAAUCGCGAAUCAGAAUGUCGCGGUGAAUACGUUCUCGGGCCUUGCACACACCGCCCGUCA
Molecule: ribosomal RNA, 922 nt
Filed under: uncultured bacterium
Lineage: Bacteria
Description: bacterial SSU rRNA
Rfam family: Bacterial small subunit ribosomal RNA
Source: RNAcentral